This 301-nucleotide ribosomal RNA is filed under the name uncultured bacterium. Its description in RNAcentral is "partial 16S ribosomal RNA". It matches the Rfam family "Bacterial small subunit ribosomal RNA", at positions 509 to 807 of the family's 1533-position model. The record is from RNAcentral.
CAGUAGCCGCGGGAAUACAGAGGAUGCAAGCGUUAUCCGGAAUGAUUGGGCGUAGAGCGUCUGUAGGUGGCUUUUCAAGUCCGCCGUCAAAUCCCAGGGCUCAACCCUGGACAGGCGGUGGAAACUACCAAGCUGGAGUACGGUAGGGGCAGGGGGAAUUUCCGGCGGAGCGGUGAAAUGCGUUGAGAUCGGAAAGAACACCAACGGCGAAAGCACUCUGCUGGGCCGACACUGACACUGAGAGACGAAAGCUAGGGGAGCAAAUGGGAUUAGAUACCCGCGUAGUCCCUGUCUCUUAUAC